GGUAAUGUGGCCGAGUUGGUUAAGGUAAGCUCUCUGCAUGGGAGUCUGAAUGUAAGAACACCAUCUAAUGCUGGAAAUAGGCGUCAGACUUAAGCUACAAAGAACCUCUUUGUACGUGUUCUGAUAUCGAAAGAUGCAAGGGUUCGAUCCCCUUCGUUACCA
RNAcentral lists this transfer RNA (162 nucleotides) under Talaromyces islandicus. Its description in RNAcentral is "Penicillium islandicum tRNA". It matches the Rfam family "tRNA". Rfam says of the family: Transfer RNA (tRNA) molecules are approximately 80 nucleotides in length. Their secondary structure includes four short double-helical elements and three loops (D, anti-codon, and T loops). Lineage: Eukaryota; Fungi; Ascomycota; Eurotiomycetes; Eurotiales; Trichocomaceae. The record is from Rfam by way of RNAcentral.